GCUCAGGUGGUGAAAUUGGCAGACACGCUGGAUUUAGGUUCCAGUGCCGAAAGGCGUAAGGGUUCAAGUCCCUUCCUGAGUACCA
RNAcentral lists this transfer RNA (85 nucleotides) under Puniceicoccales bacterium. RNAcentral describes it as "tRNA-Leu". It matches the Rfam family "tRNA". From Rfam's summary of the family: Transfer RNA (tRNA) molecules are approximately 80 nucleotides in length. The record is from RNAcentral. Lineage: Bacteria; Pseudomonadati; Verrucomicrobiota; Opitutia; Puniceicoccales.